Molecule: long non-coding RNA, 416 nt
Filed under: Citrus sinensis (sweet orange)
Lineage: Eukaryota; Viridiplantae; Streptophyta; Magnoliopsida; Sapindales; Rutaceae
Description: long non-coding RNA (CSIN_LNC005355)
Source: RNAcentral
GGACUUGAGAGGCCGGUCUGAGGAACGAGCUGGAACCUUGGGCUUGGCCGUUUACUGGAAAAGUGUGGGCUGACACGAGGAGUACUCCUAGGAGGGGGGAGCUCAGACUGAGAGUUACAACUCCUAGAGGUAUUAGGGGGGGACCUAUCACCCUCACUAAUGGAGAUGUGGGAAGGAGAACCCGCAGGAGGGCUGUCAACGCUCCUAGCCUCAACUGCACGACGCUUCCUCAUUGGUCCCGUAUGUUUCUUGCCCAUUUACUUCCCCCGACAACAUAACCACCAAGCCACAAUUCCCCUAACAACGUAACCACCAAGCCACAAUUCCCCCAACAACGUAACCACCAAGCCACAAUUCCCCCAACAACAUAACCACCAAGCCACAAUUCCCUCAACAACAUUUUCAUGCCAUACACC